This 241-nucleotide ribosomal RNA is filed under the name uncultured bacterium. RNAcentral describes it as "partial 16S ribosomal RNA". It matches the Rfam family "Bacterial small subunit ribosomal RNA", at positions 524 to 763 of the family's 1533-position model. The record is from RNAcentral.
UACGUAGGUGGCGAGCGUUGUCCGGAAUUACUGGGUGUAAAGCGCGUGUAGGCGGGAGGCCAAGUCUGUGGUGAAAUCGCUCGGCUUAACUGGGCGGGGUCCAUGGAAACUGGUCACCUGGAGGUCGGUAGAGGCAAGUGGAAUUCCCGGUGUAGUGGUGAAAUGCGUAGAGAUCGGGAGGAACACCAGUGGCGAAGGCGGCUAUCUGGAUGAGUAUUGACACUGAGGCUCGGAAAGCGUG